CCUACGGGUGGCAGCAGUGGGGAAUAUUGCACAAUGGGGGAAACCCUGAUGCAGCGACGCCGCGUGAGUGAAGAAGUACUUCGUUAUGUAAAGCUCUAUCAGCCGGGAAGAAAAUGACGGUACCUGAGUAAGAAGCCGCGGCUAACUACGUGCCAGCAGCCGCGGCAAUACGUAGGGGGCAAGCGUUAUCCGGAAUUACUGGGUGUAAAGGGAGCGUAGACGGUGAUGUAAGUCUGGAGUGAAAGGCGGGGCCCAACCCCCGGACUGCUGUGGAAACUAUGUGACUGGAGUGCAGGAGAGGUGAGCGGAAUUCCUGGUGUAGCGGUGAAAUGCGUAGAUAUUAGGAGGAACACCAGUGGCGAAGGCGGCUCACUGGACUGUAACUGACGUUGAGGCUCGAAAGCGUGGGGAGCAAACAGGAUUAGAUACCCUUGUAGUC
Molecule: ribosomal RNA, 439 nt
Filed under: uncultured bacterium
Lineage: Bacteria
Description: partial 16S ribosomal RNA
Rfam family: Bacterial small subunit ribosomal RNA
Source: RNAcentral